UUCUCGCCACAUUACCGCCCUCCCCCCAACAAUCUCUUUCACUGGGGGUUCGGUCUUGGCAGGACCAAGGUCUCACCUUUCCACUGGUGCUCUUACUACGCCAUUCAUUACUACCUAUGCAGUUGGAGCCCAGGAGAUGUAGGUCAAGAGGAGAAGAACAAACUGACCAAGGAAGUAAAUGUGAAACUCAAAUGUGAAGGUAACGUACUGGCAGUGCACAACACUGAAACUGAGACUUGGUGAAAAUUAUAGUAUUGCAUCUUUCUCCAUACCUUACUACUACAGCAAGCCUCAUCAUGAUUGUACCUGGAUUAAAACUGAAUGGGCUGUAAGAUGCUCUCUGCAAGCACAAUGACGUGGAAUCCUACAGUUAAGAGGCAUGGUUUCUAAGAUUGAAAUGAACAUAGAAACCCAUAACUGUUCAAGGUUCAGAGAAUAAGGGACUGCUUGAUGUUUGGCCAUAAACAGGACAUCUGUAUCACAGACAUGUCCCCCUCACUCAAGGCACAGGGAUCAUGCAGAAGGGAUCAGGAAGACGGUCAUUACAGCAAAGGGUAACACUCAUGAAUGAAAACUAAAAACAUUUCAAGAGAUGGAGGCUCCUAGGAUAUCAUCAGUGACUUCCACUACAGGAUGAACUCACUGUACAUUGUCAGUGAAUUGUUAAAAUGUUUCAACUGAAAAGAAACUGGAUAAACUCAAAGGGGAAAAGAAACUACAGUGAGCAUCGGGAAAGGCCACUUUCAAAGACAGCACAACAGAACGGUCCUGAAAAUAUGUCCUUUAUACUGAAUGUCAACACUUUUAAGUGGAUGGUGAAUAGUUGGGUAUAUCUCUGAAGGAAAAAAAUUACAGACAGCAGGAGGGAAAGUGAGACAGCCCAAGAGGGAAUGGAUUAUAACCACAGAAACAGUAGGGACUCAAUUAUAUGAAAAUAGACAGAGGCUGUUAGUGUCUUAGUUUAUCUAUAAACUGCAUAGUGGAGAAAUAUAUUGCUUACAAUUCUGCAGACUAGGAAAUAAAAACACAAGGCGGGGUUGGGGAUUUAGCUCAGUGGUAGAGCGCUUGCCUAGGAAGCGCAAGGCCCUGGGUUCGGUCCCCAGCUCCGAAAAAAAGAACCAAGAAAAAAAAAAACACAUGGCACUGGCAGUUGUGGUUUCUGGUGAUGCCCAUUUUCUGGUGUCUUGUUGAAUUCUCAGGUGGCAGAUGGAAUGGUGGAAUCUCCUGGGUCCCUUUAAACAAGGUCACUAAUCCUAUCUAACUGGCCUCUGACCAUGUCGUAUAGUCAACUUCCAAGUUUCUAUCUCCUGGUAUUAGCACACUGGUUCUAACUUACAACACAUCAGAAUAUGCACCUCUACACAUUCUAGAAUCAUAUACAGAAGUAUUCAUAGAUACCUGUAAGCAAUGAAUAACUGAAUGUGUACAUCUAAUGCAUAUAAUCCCUAUUCUUCAACUUGUGUGGGUCUGGAGAAAUAACUCUGAUACAUUGAACAUCCCUGGGGUCUGCCUGCGGUUUUACAUUGCCCUUCAACAAAAAAGUACCGUGGCACAUUACAG
Molecule: non-coding RNA, 1560 nt
Organism: Rattus norvegicus (Norway rat)
Lineage: Eukaryota; Metazoa; Chordata; Mammalia; Rodentia; Muridae
Source: RefSeq, a predicted model, not a curated record